This 194-nucleotide ribosomal RNA is filed under the name uncultured bacterium. Its description in RNAcentral is "partial 16S ribosomal RNA". It matches the Rfam family "Bacterial small subunit ribosomal RNA", at positions 338 to 524 of the family's 1533-position model. The record is from RNAcentral.
CCUACGGGAGGCAGCAGUGGGGAAUUUUGGACAAUGGGCGAAAGCCUGAUCCAGCCAUGCCGCGUGAGUGAAGAAGGCCUUCGGGUUGUAAAGCUCUUUUAGUCGGAAAGAAAGAGUUGCAAUGAAUAAUUGUGAUUUAUGACGGUACCGACAGAAAAAGCACCGGUUAACUACGUGCCAGCAGCCGCGGUAAU